RNAcentral lists this long non-coding RNA (899 nucleotides) under Danio rerio (zebrafish). RNAcentral's name for it is "lncRNA si:dkey-203c4.2 (ENSDARG00000093890.3)". The record is from RNAcentral. Lineage: Eukaryota; Metazoa; Chordata; Actinopteri; Cypriniformes; Danionidae.
GGACGGAAUUGGUAGCUGGCUUUUAUUCCACCCUCCCUCUCCACUUUCAUUCAAUAAGGUUCAAUUUGAAAAUGGUCUGGUUUGUAUCCUUAAUAUAUGAACGUGCAGGUGCUUCUAAUCACCGAGGCGGCGUGCGCACACGCUGCCACAACGCGAAACGUCGCGAUUUAUCGCUUGCAUUUGCGUGAUGUUUUCCAGCGCUGAUUGCUUGGACGUGUGAUUUCACAGGCCCGCGCCUCCAUCUGUAUACACCAUUUUCUCUAAGUAUUGAACAUUUUCAUCUUUCUUCAAUACGAGCUAAUUGGAUUAAGUUUGAGCAAUAUUCAUAGUGGCGCGCAUUGUGCCAGGCGGCUGUUUUAUGGCUCCGCCGCGCGCUGUCAGCCUCGUGUUCCUGCCGUCAUCAACGCACUAAGGACCACAUCAACCAUCCCCUCUCAUUCUCAGCAAGCCUGCUGGGUUUCCCCCGCAAGAAAACCAACCGAUUCUCUGUGGAAUCGUGCUAAAUUAACCAAAUUUACAGCUUAGCACUUAAGGAUCUCCUUAGUCGGCAGUGGUGACUAGGAACUCUUUGAAGUGGAAGAGUGGCUGCCGUCUGGAUGAUGACAUCACGACAUGCCUGUCUUAGCUCAGGAACAUGAACCUCUGGUGAUGUAGAUUAUAUUCAGGAUGCCAGCUGGCAGACAGAUGGUGGUGGCUUUACACGUUUUUAUUUAAAGACACAUCAGAAGGAAGAGGAGGGUGAGGCAAGAGAACAGCUGUAGUGAGUGGGACAGGACGGCAUUUGCUGGUCAAAGCGAUGAGCUGCACAAGGAAAGAAAAGAAUGAAAAACAAGCCUUGCAGAGAACUACAAACUUUCUCCAAAUGUGUUUGUUCCCUAAAUACAGCUCAAUGAUAGAGA